Molecule: unclassified non-coding RNA, 302 nt
Filed under: Hevea brasiliensis (rubber tree)
Lineage: Eukaryota; Viridiplantae; Streptophyta; Magnoliopsida; Malpighiales; Euphorbiaceae
Source: RNAcentral
AACCUAGAAAUGAAAAGAAUCAAUGAUGUCACAAAGAAAUUUUGAUUAAAAAAAAUCUAAUGGAGAAGAAACAGUAAAAGGAAAAGAAUUAGCUGCCCACAUCUAAGGCACUAAAGUACAAGUCCACUUUAGCAUGAUGACAAAAUUAUUUCCCCAGCUUUAACAAACUUCAUAUUUUAGAUUCUUUCUUGUAAACAAUUCUUUGAUGUUAAUUAUUAGAAAGACAUUUGAUCAUCAGAAUGGAGUUGCAAGUAGGUUCAUUGAAACUUCGAAAGAAAUUGUGUAUACAAUAUAUAUGAGCG